This 344-nucleotide ribosomal RNA is filed under the name uncultured eukaryote. Its description in RNAcentral is "partial 18S ribosomal RNA". It matches the Rfam family "Eukaryotic small subunit ribosomal RNA", at positions 1470 to 1796 of the family's 1831-position model. The record is from RNAcentral.
CUCCUAAAUGUCCUGGGCCGCACGCGCACUACACUGACGCAAGCAGUGAGUUCCACUCGCAUUUCAGUAGUCCUGCUCAUCACUGAGUGGGCAAUCUGGUCAACCUGCGUCGUGUUGGGGAUAGAUGAUUGCAAUUAUUCGCCUUGAACGAGGAAUGCCUAGUAAUGGCGGUUCAUCAGACCGCCAUGACUAAGUCCCUGCCAUUUGUACACACCGCCCGUCGUUGCUACCGAUUGGCUGUGAAACAGAGGCCUUAGGAGGUUCGCUGCAGUGCUCUCGGGCGCUGGCAAGUGAUGCCAAAUUCGACCAAUGUUUCACUGCUAGAGGAAGCAAAAGCCGUAACA